AUACAUGCAAGUCGAACGCUUCUUUCUUAUCGAACUUCGGUUCACCAAGAAAGAGGAGUGGCGGACGGGUGAGUAACACGUGGGUAACCUGCCCUUUAGCGGGGGAUAACACUUGGAAACAGGUGCUAAUACCGCAUAAUCUUUUUUCUCGCAUGAGAGAAAAGUGAAAGACGCUUUUGCGUCACUAGAGGAUGGACCCGCGCUGCAUUAGCUAGUUGGUGAGGUAAAGGCUCACCAAGGCCACGAUGCAUAGCCGACCUGAGAGGGUGAUCGGCCACACUGGGACUGAGACACGGCCCAGACUCCUACGGGAGGCAGCAGUAGGGAAUCUUCGGCAAUGGACGAAAGUCUGACCGAGCAACGCCGCGUGAGUGAAGAAGGUUUUCGGAUCGUAAAACUCUGUUGUUAGAGAAGAAUAAGGAUGAGAGUAGAAUGUUCAUCCCUUGACGGUAUCUAACCAGAAAGCCACGGCUAACUACGUGCCAGCAGCCGCGGUAAUACGUAGGUGGCAAGCGUUGUCCGGAUUUAUUGGGCGUAAAGCGAGCGCAGGCGGUUUAUUAAGUCUGAUGUGAAAGCCCCCGGCUCAACCGGGGAGGGUCAUUGGAAACUGGUAGACUUGAGUGCAGAAGAGGAGAGUGGAAUUCCAUGUGUAGCGGUGAAAUGCGUAGAUAUAUGGAGGAACACCAGUGGCGAAGGCGACUCUCUGGUCUGUAACUGACGCUGAGGCUCGAAAGCGUGGGGAGCGAACAGGAUUAGAUACCCUGGUAGUCCACGCCGUAAACGAUGAGUGCUAAGUGUUGGAGGGUUUCCGCCCUUCAGUGCUGCAGCAAACGCAUUAAGCACUCCGCCUGGGGAGUACGGUCGCAAGACUGAAACUCAAAGGAAUUGACGGGGGCCCGCACAAGCGGUGGAGCAUGUGGUUUAAUUCGAAGCAACGCGAAGAACCUUACCAGGUCUUGACAUCCUUUGACCACUCUAGAGAUAGAGCUUUCCCUUCGGGGACAAAGUGACAGGUGGUGCAUGGUUGUCGUCAGCUCGUGUCGUGAGAUGUUGGGUUAAGUCCCGCAACGAGCGCAACCCUUAUUGUUAGUUGCCAUCAUUCAGUUGGGCACUCUAGCGAGACUGCCGGUGACAAACCGGAGGAAGGUGGGGAUGACGUCAAAUCAUCAUGCCCCUUAUGACCUGGGCUACACACGUGCUACAAUGGGAAG
This 1211-nucleotide ribosomal RNA is filed under the name Enterococcus eurekensis. Its description in RNAcentral is "bacterial SSU rRNA". It matches the Rfam family "Bacterial small subunit ribosomal RNA", at positions 51 to 1237 of the family's 1533-position model. Lineage: Bacteria; Bacillati; Bacillota; Bacilli; Lactobacillales; Enterococcaceae. The record is from RNAcentral.